UUAAGUUAAUAAGGGCGCACGGUGGAUGCCUUGGCACUAGGAGCCGACGAAGGACGUGACAAACGACGAUAUGCCUUGGGUAGCUGUAAGUAAGCGAUGAUCCAGGGAUUUCCGAAUGGGGGAACCCAACAGGUAAUACCUGUUACCCACAUCUGUUAAGGAUGUGAGGAGGAAGACGCAGUGAACUGAAACAUCUAAGUAGCUGCAGGAAGAGAAAGCAAAAGCGAUUGCCUUAGUAGCGGCGAGCGAAACGGCAGAAGGGCAAACCGAAGAGUUUACUCUUCGGGGUUGUAGGACUGCAAUGUGGACUCAAAGAUUAUAGAAGAAUGAUUUGGGAAGAUCAGCCAAAGAGAGUAAUAGCCUCGUAUUUAAAAUAGUCUUUGUACUUAGCAGUAUCCUGAGUACGGCGGGACACGUGAAAUCCCGUCGGAAUCUGGGAGGACCAUCUCCCAACCCUAAAUACUCCCUAGUGACCGAUAGUGAACCAGUACCGUGAGGGAAAGGUGAAAAGCACCCCGGGAGGGGAGUGAAAUAGAACCUGAAACCGUGCGCCUACAACAAGUUCGAGCCCGUUAAUGGGUGAGAGCGUGCCUUUUGUAGAAUGAACCGGCGAGUUACGUUAUGAUGCGAGGUUAAGUUGAAGAGACGGAGCCGUAGGGAAACCGAGUCUGAAUAGGGCGCCUUAGUAUCAUGACGUAGACCCGAAACCAUGUGACCUACCCAUGAGCAGGUUGAAGGUGCGGUAAGACGCACUGGAGGACCGAACCAGGGCACGUUGAAAAGUGCUUGGAUGACUUGUGGGUAGCGGAGAAAUUCCAAACGAACUUGGAGAUAGCUGGUUCUCUCCGAAAUAGCUUUAGGGCUAGCGUCGACAUUAGAGAUUCUUGGAGGUAGAGCACUGUUUGGGUGAGGGGUCCAUCCCGGAUUACCAAUCUCAGAUAAACUCCGAAUGCCAAUGAAUUAUGGUCGGCAGUCAGACUGCGAGUGCUAAGAUCCGUAGUCGAAAGGGAAACAGCCCAGACCACCAGCUAAGGUCCCAAAAUAAUUGUUAAGUGGAAAAGGAUGUGGGGUUGCACAGACAACUAGGAUGUUAGCUUAGAAGCAGCUAUUCAUUCAAAGAGUGCGUAAUAGCUCACUAGUCGAGUGACCCUGCGCCGAAAAUGUACCGGGGCUAAAACAAUUUACCGAAGCUGUGGAUACCUUUAUAGGUAUGGUAGGAGAGCGUUCUAUGUGUGAUGAAGGUAUACCGUGAGGAGUGCUGGAACGCAUAGAAGUGAGAAUGCCGGUAUGAGUAGCGAAAGACAGGUGAGAAUCCUGUCCACCGUAAGACUAAGGUUUCCAGGGGAAGGCUCGUCCGCCCUGGGUUAGUCGGGACCUAAGGAGAGACCGAAAGGUGUAUCCGAUGGACAACAGGUUGAUAUUCCUGUACUAGAGUAUGUAGUGAUGGAGGGACGCAGUAGGCUAACUAAAGCAGACGAUUGGAAGAGUCUGUCUAAGCAGUGAGGUGUGAAUUGAGUCAAAUGCUUAAUUCUAUAACAUUGAGCUGUGAUGGGGAGCGAAGUUUAGUAGCGAAGUUAGUGACGUCACACUGCCAAGAAAAGCUUCUAGCGUUUAAACAUACUCUACCCGUACCGCAAACCGACACAGGUAGUCGAGGCGAGUAGCCUCAGGUGAGCGAGAGAACUCUCGUUAAGGAACUCGGCAAAAUGACCCCGUAACUUCGGGAGAAGGGGUGCUGACUUAAAGUCAGCCGCAGUGAAUAGGCCCAAGCAACUGUUUAUCAAAAACACAGCUCUCUGCUAAAUCGUAAGAUGAUGUAUAGGGGGUGACGCCUGCCCGGUGCUGGAAGGUUAAGAGGAGUGCUUAGCGUAAGCGAAGGUAUGAAUUGAAGCCCCAGUAAACGGCGGCCGUAACUAUAACGGUCCUAAGGUAGCGAAAUUCCUUGUCGGGUAAGUUCCGACCCGCACGAAAGGCGUAAUGAUUUGGGCACUGUCUCAACGAGAGACUCGGUGAAAUUUUAGUACCUGUGAAGAUGCAGGUUACCCGCGACAGGACGGAAAGACCCCAUGGAGCUUUACUGCAGUUUGAUAUUGAGUGUCUGUACCACAUGUACAGGAUAGGUAGGAGUCUAAGAGAUCGGGACGCCAGUUUCGAAGGAGACGCUGUUGGGAUACUACCCUUGUGUUAUGGCCACUCUAACCCAGAUAGGUGAUCCCUAUCGGAGACAGUGUCUGACGGGCAGUUUGACUGGGGCGG
Molecule: ribosomal RNA, 2256 nt
Filed under: Streptococcus pneumoniae
Lineage: Bacteria; Bacillati; Bacillota; Bacilli; Lactobacillales; Streptococcaceae
Description: bacterial LSU rRNA
Rfam family: Bacterial large subunit ribosomal RNA
Source: RNAcentral